UUUCUUAUUAAUUCCCUCAUUUGUUAGAGGAAUUUAAUGAUAGAAUUUUACGACCAGAAUUAUCAAAUGAUGAAAUGCUGUCUCUUCAUGAAGAAUUGCAGAAGAUUUAUAAAACAUACUGUUUGGAUGAAAGUAUUGACAAAAUUAGAUUUGAUCCCUUCAUUGUAGAAGAGAUUCAAAGAAUUGCUGAAGGCCCAUACAUAGAUGUUGUGAAACUUCAAACUAUGAGAUGUCUUUUUGAAGCAUAUGAACAUGUUCUUUCCCUUUUGGAGAAUGUAUUUACUCCUAUGUUCUGCCAUAGUGAUGAGUAUUUCAGACAACUUUUAAGAGGUGCAGAAUCACCAACACGCAAUUCAAAAUUGAACAGGAACACACAGAAAAGGGGAGAAUCAUUUGGAAUCAGCAGAAUAGGUAGCAAAAUUAAAGGAGUAUUCAAAAGUACCACAAUGGAGGGAGCUAUGUUGCCUAAUUAUGGUGUAGCUGAAGGUGAAGAUGAUUUUAUUGAAGAAGGUAUUGUUGUAAUGGAAGAUGAUUCUCCAGUGGAGGCUGUGAGCACACCUAAUACUCCCCGAAACCUUGCUGCAUGGAAAAUUAGCAUUCCAUAUGUAGACUUUUUUGAGGAUCCCUCCUCUGAAAGGAAAGAGAAAAAAGAAAGAAUUCCUGUAUUUUGUAUUGAUGUUGAAAGAAAUGAUAGGAGAGCAGUUGGACACGAGCCUGAACAUUGGUCUGUCUAUAGAAGAUAUCUUGAAUUCUAUGUACUUGAAUCAAAACUAACAGAAUUUCAUGGUGCAUUUCCUGAUGCCCAGCUUCCUUCUAAGAGGAUCAUUGGCCCCAAAAAUUAUGAAUUCUUAAAGUCAAAGAGGGAAGAGUUCCAAGAAUAUCUAC
RNAcentral lists this small RNA (885 nucleotides) under Pan troglodytes (chimpanzee). RNAcentral's name for it is "retained intron". Lineage: Eukaryota; Metazoa; Chordata; Mammalia; Primates; Hominidae. The record is from RNAcentral.